RNAcentral lists this ribosomal RNA (253 nucleotides) under uncultured bacterium. RNAcentral describes it as "partial 16S ribosomal RNA". It matches the Rfam family "Bacterial small subunit ribosomal RNA", at positions 524 to 776 of the family's 1533-position model. The record is from RNAcentral.
UACGGAGGGUGCAAGCGUUAAUCGGAAUUACUGGGCGUAAAGCGUGCGCAGGCGGUUUGUUAAGUCUGCUGUGAAAUCCCCGAGCUCAACUUGGGAAUUGCAGUGGAUACUGGCAAGCUGGAGUACGGUAGAGGAAGGUGGAAUUCCCGGUGUAGCAGUGAAAUGCGUAGAGAUCGGGAGGAACCCCAGUGGCGAAGGCGGCCUUCUGGACCAGUACUGACGCUCAUGCACGAAAGCGUGGGGAGCAAACAGG